Columba livia (rock pigeon) is the source of this 1175-nucleotide long non-coding RNA. RefSeq lists it as uncharacterized. The transcript is spliced from 2 exons. The record is from RefSeq and is a predicted model, not a curated record. Lineage: Eukaryota; Metazoa; Chordata; Aves; Columbiformes; Columbidae.
ACUCUUCUGGUUUAAGUAUGGAAACCAAACUUGCUAACAGUAAUAAGCUUACUGUUCUCUCACCGUUUUGUAAAAAAUCUAGAGAGAUGCAUAGGUAGAAAAGACAAAUACCCAUCAUUUUGCAAUUUAUUCAUAUAAUGCCUAAAGGUCCAGUGAGGGAAAUCAGACCUUAAAUCUUCAGACAAACCCGUUUUCCCAUUAUUUUCUUUUAGAAUUGAUCUUUCAAAGGAAAGGAAGAAUUAACGGCACCUGCUUGUUUUAGAGCCCCCAAGCCCUGCAGUAGCUAACUUUCUAAGGGUUUCCUUUCUGAACUGAAGUCCUACUGCUUUUUUCUCAUAUGCUUCAUUAUGAGACACCAGGAAUUACUCUGGAGCACAGGCCAGCUUUGUCUAGGACUGAUGAGCUUUUCAUAAGAAAGGAGGUGGCAAAACUUCCUCCAGAGAAGGUAUCCAGCUAUUCCAAUGAGAACAAAUAGAAGGAUCCCUCCUAUUACACCUCCAGCAACAGCAACUGCUUGUUCUGUUCAAACAUAGAAGCACAGAAAGCAUCAUAGGAAGAUCAAAGUUAUGUAUGUUUUGGGGUAGAUAGGAAUAUUAAAGCUGACAAAUGUAUUUCAUUUGCGUACCAAAAUGAUUUUAAAAUGAAACAUUUGGCUCAUGUGCACAUUUUUGUCCUUGGUUACAGCAUGAUGCAGCACCUGAAGAUGUAUGGCACCAGCAGUGAGAGAUUAGAAAGUAUUCAGACAUGCUGGCAAUGACUGCAAUGUAAGACACUAUAGACAGGAAAAAAACAAAACUCAAGGAGUUCUUUGGGCUUUAAUUUUAUGUUAGCAUAAACGUUUACCUUGGUAUGACAGACGUGCUAGAGCUUUCAUAACAGAAGGAAAAGAAAAACCAGGAUCACCCAAUACAAAAGGUCCCAUUAUUUUUGUUUGGUUUGUUCUUCCACCUAUUCGUCUACGUUGAACUGAGACCAGAUCCUGGCACAAGGAACAAAGCAGAGCUGGGUGGUUUUCUUUCUGAGGAUGCAUGUGUUUCCUGAUCUCUAAGGCCAAACUUCAGUAUGCAUUAAAAACUGUUUCCUGAAUCUCGAUUACUUCAGAUAAAACUGAAUCUUGUAUAAUUUGGAUUGUGGUUUUUCCACACUAAUAAAAUUGAAAAUGUCUUUAAUAUGAA